RNAcentral lists this ribosomal RNA (253 nucleotides) under uncultured bacterium. RNAcentral's name for it is "partial 16S ribosomal RNA". It matches the Rfam family "Bacterial small subunit ribosomal RNA", at positions 524 to 776 of the family's 1533-position model. The record is from RNAcentral.
UACGUAGGGUGCGAGCGUUGUCCGGAAUCACUGGGCGUAAAGGGCGCGUAGGUGGCGCUGCAAGUCGGUGGUGAAAGCUCGUCGCUUAACGACGAGUCGGCCAUCGAAACUGCAGGGCUGGAGCACUGUAGGGGCAGAUGGAAUUCCGGGUGUAGCGGUGGAAUGCGUAGAGAUCCGGAAGGACACCAGUGGCGAAGGCGGUCUGCUGGGCAGUAGCUGACACUGAGGCGCGACAGCGUGGGGAGCAAACAGG